Long non-coding RNA from Diprion similis, 150 nucleotides. RefSeq lists it as uncharacterized. The transcript has 3 exons. Lineage: Eukaryota; Metazoa; Arthropoda; Insecta; Hymenoptera; Diprionidae. The record is from RefSeq and is a predicted model, not a curated record.
UUUUUGAUUUGAUGCAAAUAUUGCAUAAAGAAAAUCUCUGAACUCCCGCAUGUUACUUGGACUUUCCAACAAUAGCCAAUAUUAAAAACCUUCAAUUUGACAAUUGCUGAAAAUUCUUUUCAAAUUUUCCUUCACUUCUUGUAUCUUUGA